CUUCAAUAUGCCUUGCCUUCCUUUUUGAGGUGACGAUGCAAUAUAAGUGUGCCAUCUAGGUCAGGGCCAUCAUCAUCUCUGGCUGAUGCAUUAAAAUAAACUGAAAUAAAAUGAAACAGCUGGUCAAGGCUAAUUUCCUUCCCACCACCAAGAUCCUUUAUAGGCAAUGUGGUCAUCAGUUGCACGUCUUCACUUGCAAAUGUUUCAAGGGAUGUGAUGAAGUGGAGGCCAGCCAGGGUAUUGGACAAUAAUUCCAUCUUCUCAUAAGAUUGCAAGCCCCCACCUAUGUUGGUUAAUUCUGCUUCACAUGGAAGAGACAGCCAUUGGGCCAGCCCUGAACAAAGAUCCCUGUCACCAAGAUCCACUGCUCCUGCUGUGGUCAGGCAAAGAGAAGGUUAUGUCUCCUGAGUUCUAGUUCUCCGUCCUGAAGUCCAUGUAAUGUGAGUUACAAGCCGUCUGCAGAGGUGAGCAUUCGACUCUGGCCAGCUCAAGUUAUUCGGCAAGGUGUGAUUGUCCAGUCUUGAGGCUGUUUGCUGGGAGAAGCACGACAUAGGCUAUUGCCAGUGCCAAGGAGAACAAUCCUAAUAAGACUGACAGCCCUGCCCAAAUGACAUGGCAUUGAAAAUGACACCUGACUGAAUGAAGCUGACACUGAGGUAGGCACUGAGCUUCUUCAGAGAGAAGGGAGGGACCAGCCACAGAGGAGGCAUGAUCCAAACUUUUGGGAUCCUCAGAAAUGUUUACCCAAGCUCCAUGAAACAAUCAUAAAGGAACAAAAGGACAAAGUAAUUGGGGGAAUAUAACAACAAUGAACACAGGGCUAGAGUGUGUAAUCCUGUUGCUGUCGUUAAUCCUGUUGCAGUUCACUCUUAUCCAAUUCUGUAUGCUCCUUAGAUCCAGAAACAGGCAUGUUAUGUCCUUGUGCAUCUGCUCUGCCCAGCUAGAUGUUGUCAUCCCUACCCAAGAAGAAUGCAUUAGAUCCAGUAAAAGCUUCAUGUUCAGUCUCAGUUGCAAAGAGCAGAGCAUUUCAAAGUAGGGGUCAUGAAGCCUGCUCCAUGGGCUUUACUGAUUGUCUGCAGGAAACCGCUCUCAUCUUAACCUCUGUGUCCUUGAAUCAAAAGACAUUUUUGCUGGUCACACAGGACAACGUUUUCUUAAUAUUCCUCAAAUUUCCCUACCAAAUCUUAAAAGUAUGAUUCUCCUCUGAGAGUUAAAGUAGCAAAACCUGUAUAUGACGCACAUGAUUCUUCAUUUUUUAGAAGAAACCAGAAAGACAUUUUGUAAAUGGACAGCUGAGUGAUAUGGGGCUAGUAAUGGAAGGGAGGCUUUGGAAGGGCUGGCCUUGAAUGUGAUUAACUUAACAGUAAAACCUGAUGAAAUCAAUCAGUUCCUUCCUGAAGAGACCACAGCAUGGUGCUGAAGAGCGUGAUCUCAGGAAUACAGAACUGGAUUUAAAUCCCUGCCUCAGAUGACUUUGUGAACCACGUAUCCUCUAUGGAAAUCAGUUUCUUCAUCAUUGAAAUGGAGAUAACUGGUAUUAUCCGCAGUGAUUUGCUUGCCUUUCUUACACUGUCUUGAUAUCUGCAUCUUUGAGAAUCCAAACUGACACAGUUGUCACCAGAACUGGACCAAGAAGUUUUACCUCAGUGCUAUGUUAACUCUGCCAUGCUUGUUGAUAAUAAAAUUCAAAGAGAUAUGGACCAUCUGGACAUACCGCAGGAUAUCAUAUUGAUCCAGUACAUCUGUGAUAUCAUGCUAAUUGGACAAGAUAAGAAGAAACAUCAGAAGCAGUUGAGGAACCAGGAAGUGAGUCCCCUAGGAAUGAGGAAGCAUUCUGCUAGAUAGCUUUUUAAAAUGUUUCCUCUAUACAUGAAAACUAAACACCUUGCUUCCGAAUGACUUUUGGGUAAACAAUGAAAUUAAAGCAUAAAUAAAAAAACUCAUUAAAAGAAAUGAAAAUAGAGAUGUAAUGUACAAAAAACCUCUGGGAUAUGACUAAACAGUGUUAAGAGGAAAGUUUGUGGCACUAAAUGCCUACAUCAAGAAAUUAGAUCUCAAUUAACAACCUAACGUUGCACCUAAAGGAACUAGAAAAACAAGAACAAAUUAAACCCAAAACUAGAAGAAAAGAAAGCACUAAAAUCAGAGCAGAACUAAAUGAAAUCGAGACCAAAAAAUCCGUACAAAGGAUCAACAAAAGGAAAAGUGUUUUUUUGAUAGAUAAGCAAGAUUGAUAGACCACCAGCUAGGAAAAUAAAAGAAGAUCCAAAUAAUCACAAUCAAGAAUGACAAAGGCAGCAUCACAACUAAUCUCACAGAAAUAUGAAAGACCCGCAGAGACUACUAUGAAUGUCUCUACGCAUGUAAACUAGAGAAUCUACAGGAAAUGAAUAAAUUCCUGGAAACACACAACCUCCAAAGAUUGAGGGAGGGAGAAAUUGAAACUCUGAGCAAACCAAUAAUAAGUGACAAAACUGAAUCAGUAAUAAAAACUUAUUAAAAAAAAGCCUUGGACCAAAUAGCUUCACAGCUGAAUUCUACCAGACAUACAAAGAACAACUACUACCAAUCCUAAUGAAACUAUUCUAAGAGAGGAGGGGGGCAUUCCUCUCUAACUCAUUCUUUGAAAGCAGCAUCAUCCUGAUACCAAAAUCUGGCAAGGACACAACAAAAAAGGAAAACUACAGGCCAAUAUUCCUGAUGAACAUAGACACAGAAAUCUUCAACAAAAUACUAGCAAACUGAAUCCAAUAACACAUCAAAAAAAUAAUUCAUCAUGCCAAGGGCACUUUAUUUCUAGGAUGCAAGGAUGGUUUAAUAUAUGCAAAUCAAUAAAUGUGAUUCACCACAUAAACAGAAUUAAAAAUGAAAACGAUAUGAUCAUCUCAGUAGACAUAGAAAAAGCACUGAUAAAAUUCAACAUUGCUUCAUGAUAAAAACCCUCAAAAAAAUAGUCAUCAAAGGAACUUAUCUCAAAAUGGUAAGAGUCGUCUAUGACAAACCCACAGCUAAUAUACUGAAUGGGUAAAAGUUGGAAGCAUUCUCCCUAAGAACUGGAACAAGACAAGAAUACCCACUUUCACCACUCCUAUUCAACAUCAUACUGGAAGUCCUAAUCAGAGCAAUCAGGCAAGAGAAAGCAAUAAAUAUAUAAAUAGGAAAAGAGGAAGUCAAAUUAUCUCUGUUUGCUAAUGAUAUAAUUGUAUACCUACAAAACUCUAAAGACUCCUCCAAAAGACUCCUGUACCUGAUAAAUGACUUCAGUAAAGUUUCAGAAUUCAAAAUCAAUGUACAAAAAUCAAUAGCAUUCCUAUAUACCAAUAAUGUUCAAAGCUCAAGCUGAGAACCAAAUCAAGAACACAAUCCCAUUUACAAUAGCCACACAUACACAAAAGAUAUCUAGGAGUACAUUUAACCAAGGAGGUAAAAUAUCUCUACAAGGAAAACUAGAAAACACCGAUGAAAGAAAUCAUAGAAGACAUAAACAAAAAGAAAAACAUUAUUCUAUUCUCAUGGAAUAGAAUAAUCAAUAUUGUUAAAAUGUCCAUACUGCCCAAAGCAAUCUACAGAUUUAACACAAUUUUUAUCAAACUGCCAAUGUCAUUUUUUACAGAAUCAGAAAAAACAAUUCAAAAUUUGUAUGAAACAAGAGAAGAACCUGAACAUCCAAAGCAAUCCUAAGCAAAAAGAAUAAAGAUGGAGGCACCACAUUACCCAACUUCAAACUAUACUAUAAGGCCACAGUAAACAAAGCAGCAUGGUAUUUGUUAAAAAAAAAAAUAGACACAUAGACCAAUGGAACAAAUUAGAGAACCCAGAAACAAAGCUGUAUAUAUCUACAACCAACUAGUCUUUGACAAAGUCAACAAAAAUAAACUAUGGGGAAAGGACAACCUAUUUAAUAAAUGAUGCUGGAAAAACUAGCUAGCUAUAUGCAGAAGAAUGAAACUGGACUUCUACCUCUCACCAUAUAAAAAAUUAGCUCAAUAUUACAUUUGUAAUGUAAUCUUUAAAUGUAAGUUUUACAUUUAAAGAUGUAAAUGUAAGACUUCAAUCUGUAAAAAAUAUUAGAACAAAACCUAGGAAAUACUCUUCUGGCCUAGGCAAAAAUUUAUAACUAAGACCUCAAAAGCAAAUGCAACAAAAACAAAAAUGUACAACUGGGACCUAAUUAAAGUAAAGGACUUCUGCAGGGCAAAAUAAAUUAUCAAUAGAGUAAAUGGACAACCUACAGAAUGGAAGACAAUAUUUGCAAACUAUGCAUUCCACAAAGGAAUAAUAUUCAGAAUCUAUAAGGAACUUAAAUCAACAAGAAAAAAAAUCAAAUAACUCCAUUAAAAAGUGGGCAAAGGACACUAACAGACAAUUCUCAAAAGAAGACAUACAAAUGGCCAAGAAGCAUAUGAAAAAAUGCUCAACAUCACUAAUCAUCAGAGAAAUGUAAAUUAAAACCACAAUAAGUUAGCAUCUCACACCAGUCAAAAUGGCUCUUAUUAAAAAGUAAAAAAUAACAGAUGUUGUCAAGAAUGGGGAGAAAGGGAAUGCUUAUACACUGUUGGUGGGAAUGUAAUAUAGUUCAGCCCCCAUGAAAAGCAGUUUAGAAAUUCCUCAAAGAACUAAACAAAAAACUACCAUUCCACCCAGCAAUCCUAUUAUUGGGUAUCUACCCAAAGGAAAAGAAAUCAUUUGUACCAAAAAGGCACCUGCACUCACAUGUUUAUCACAGCACGAUUCGCAAAGGCAAGGACAUGGAAUCAACCUAGGUGCCCAUCAAUGGUGGAUUGGAUAAAGCAAAUAUGGUACAUAUACAGCAUGGAAUACUAUGCAACCAUAAAAAAACAGUGAAAUCACGUCCUUUGCAGCAACACGGAUGGAGCUGGGGGCCAUUAUCCUAAGUGAAUUAAUGCAGAAACAAAAAAUCAAAUACCACAUAUUCUCACUUGUAAGUAGGAGCUAAACGAUGGGUACAUACAGACAUAAAGAUGUAAACAAUAGAUUCUGGGGACUCCAAAAGGGAGGAGGAUGACAGGAGGGAAAAACAAUUGAAACGUAACUUAUUUGGUAUUAUGGUCACUCUUUGGGUGAUGGGAUCAAUAGAAGACCAAAUCCCAGCAUUAUAUACUAUAUCCGUUUAACAAUACUGCACAUGUAGUUUCUGAAUCUAAAAUAAAAAGCAU
Molecule: long non-coding RNA, 5177 nt
Filed under: Homo sapiens (human)
Lineage: Eukaryota; Metazoa; Chordata; Mammalia; Primates; Hominidae
Description: HSALNT0020980
Source: RNAcentral